GUGCUCGCUUUGGCAGCACAUAUACUAAAAUUGGAAAGAUACAGAGAAGAUUAGCAUGGCCCCUGCGCAAGGAUGAUACACAAAUUAGUGAAGCAUUCCAUAUUUUU
Molecule: small nuclear RNA, 107 nt
Organism: Heterocephalus glaber (naked mole-rat)
Lineage: Eukaryota; Metazoa; Chordata; Mammalia; Rodentia; Bathyergidae
Source: Ensembl